GAUCACAGUGAUGACUCCAUAAAAUUCAAGCUCAACAGACCGUAGGUCAGGGCUUUCUCUUUCGAGAUUGCUUUGCGUGUCGAUAAACCCGCUGAACUGAGUGAUC
Molecule: small nucleolar RNA, 106 nt
Filed under: Trifolium pratense (red clover)
Lineage: Eukaryota; Viridiplantae; Streptophyta; Magnoliopsida; Fabales; Fabaceae
Description: snoRNA snoZ107_R87
Rfam family: Small nucleolar RNA Z107/R87
About the family: Z107 and R87 are members of the C/D class of snoRNA which contain the C (UGAUGA) and D (CUGA) box motifs.
Source: RNAcentral